CCCUUAGAUGUUCUGGGCCGCACGCGUGCUACACUGAGUGGAUCAGCGGGUCAGGUUGCGCGAAAGCGUUUCCUAAUCUUGAAAUCCGCUCGUGAUGGGGAUUGACGGUUGCAAUUUUCCGUCAUGAACGAGGAAUACCUUGUAAGCGCGGGUCAUCAUCCCGCGCUGAAUACGUCCCUGCCCUUUGUACACACCGCCCGUCGCUCCUACCGAUUGAGUGGUCCGGUGAGGCUUUGGGAUCUGAGCGGAAAGAGCGUUUCGCUGUUUCUGCUCGGAAAACUCAGUCGAACCUUAUCAUUUAGAGGAAGGAGAAGUCGUAACA
RNAcentral lists this ribosomal RNA (322 nucleotides) under uncultured eukaryote. Its description in RNAcentral is "partial 18S ribosomal RNA". It matches the Rfam family "Eukaryotic small subunit ribosomal RNA", at positions 1470 to 1796 of the family's 1831-position model. The record is from RNAcentral.